Molecule: non-coding RNA, 99 nt
Filed under: Clostridium cellulovorans
Lineage: Bacteria; Bacillati; Bacillota; Clostridia; Eubacteriales; Clostridiaceae
Also listed under: 1 other name
Description: TPP sequence
Rfam family: TPP riboswitch aptamer (THI element)
About the family: Vitamin B(1) in its active form thiamin pyrophosphate (TPP) is an essential coenzyme that is synthesised by coupling of pyrimidine and thiazole moieties in bacteria. The previously detected thiamin-regulatory element, thi box was extended, resulting in a new, highly conserved RNA secondary structure, the THI element, which is widely distributed in eubacteria and also occurs in some archaea.
Source: RNAcentral
AAUUAACGCUAGGGGUGCCUUUGGCUGAGAAAUGAUUUAUCAUUAACCCUUAUACCUGAUCUGGUUAGUACCAGCGUAGGAAAGCUAUAUUUGCCUAGU